RNAcentral lists this ribosomal RNA (253 nucleotides) under uncultured bacterium. Its description in RNAcentral is "partial 16S ribosomal RNA". It matches the Rfam family "Bacterial small subunit ribosomal RNA", at positions 524 to 776 of the family's 1533-position model. The record is from RNAcentral.
UACGGGGGGUGCGAGCGUUAUCAGGAAUCACUGGGUUUAAAGGGUGCGUAGGCGGCUCGGUAAGUCAGUUGAGAAAGCACCUUGCUUAACGAGGGAGGUGCGAUUGAUACUGUCGAGCUUGAAUCGGGAUGAGGCAGGCGGAAUGUGGCAUGUAGCGGUGAAAUGCAUAGAUAUGCCAUAGAACACCGAUUGCGAAGGCAGUCGGUUGGGCCUGUAUUUACGCUGAGGCACUAAAUCGUGGGGAACAAACAUG